UACGAGGGGGGCGAGCGUUGUUCGGAAUUAUUGGGCGUAAAGAGCUCGUAGGCGGCCUGUUGCGUCCGCUGUGAAAGCCCGGGGCUUAACCCCGGGUCGGCAGUGGAUACGGGCAGGCUAGAGGUAGGUAGGGGAGAAUGGAAUUCCCGGUGUAGCGGUGAAAUGCGCAGAUAUCGGGAGGAACACCCGUGGCGAAGGCGGCUCUCUGGGACGGUACUGACGCUGAGACGCGAAAGCGUGGGGAGCGAACAGG
This 253-nucleotide ribosomal RNA is filed under the name uncultured bacterium. RNAcentral's name for it is "partial 16S ribosomal RNA". It matches the Rfam family "Bacterial small subunit ribosomal RNA", at positions 524 to 776 of the family's 1533-position model. The record is from RNAcentral.